RNAcentral lists this transfer RNA (67 nucleotides) under Semidalis aleyrodiformis. RNAcentral's name for it is "tRNA-Trp". The record is from RNAcentral. Lineage: Eukaryota; Metazoa; Arthropoda; Insecta; Neuroptera; Coniopterygidae.
AAGGCUUUAAGUUAAAUAAACUAAUAGCCUUCAAAGCUAUAAAUAAAAUAUAUAAUUUUAAGCCUUA